UUUUAGUUAAGUACUAGUAAGUUAAGAAACGUAAAUUCCCCUGUGAAAAUUUAGCCCUUUGUAUAAAAGGUCUGGCCAGUUCGGAGCCCACUCAGUGCUGCCUUGCGUUUACAAGUGAGCGUGUGUAAAUAAACCUCAGAGUAAUCCUGUUUACUUGCACUGGAAUUCAACAAUGGCAGACUCCGACCGCAUCGUAUUCCCUGACGAGUUGGCCGAGGCAAAGGCUGACGUGGUAGACGCUGCUCCCCCCGCCAACAAGACCUCGGGUAAAGACCACUCCAAAAAGGUGGAGAAACCACCUAAAGAAGUCUAUGGAAUCCACUUGAGGAACGCGAUUGUAGUACCCAGUAACUGUGACAUGGCUAGUAACGGCGUCUGCUACGAAGUACACAAAGA
This is a long non-coding RNA of Helicoverpa armigera (cotton bollworm), 396 nucleotides long. RefSeq lists it as uncharacterized. The record is from RefSeq and is a predicted model, not a curated record. The transcript is spliced from 2 exons. Lineage: Eukaryota; Metazoa; Arthropoda; Insecta; Lepidoptera; Noctuidae.